AACGAACGCUGGCGGCACGUUUUAAGCAUGGAGGUCGAAUGGCAGUGGGGGCAACCCCAUGAGAAUGGCGAACGGGUGAGUAACACGUAGGUGAUCUGCCUGACGGAUGGGGAUAGCUUGUGGAAACACAGGGUAAUACCGAAUGAGCUGACGAGACUUUGGGUUUGUUAGUAAAGGUGCUACGGCACCGCCGACAGAGGAGCCUGCGGCUGAUUAGCUAGUUGGUGGGGUAAAGGCCUACCAAGGCGACGAUCAGUAGCCGGCCUGAGAGGGUGUACGGCCACACUGGAACUGAGACACGGUCCAGACUCCUACGGGAGGCAGCAGCUAAGAAUCUUCCGCAAUAGGCGAAAGCCUGACGGGGCGAUGCCGCGUGAUCGAUGAAGGUCGAGAGAUUGUAAAGAUCUUUUCUACAUGAGGAAUAAGUCUGGGAGGGAAUGCCUGGAUGAUGACGUUAGUGUAGGAAUAAGCCCCGGCUAAUUACGUGCCAGCCGCCGCAGUAA
This 503-nucleotide ribosomal RNA is filed under the name uncultured bacterium. RNAcentral describes it as "partial 16S ribosomal RNA". It matches the Rfam family "Bacterial small subunit ribosomal RNA", at positions 29 to 523 of the family's 1533-position model. The record is from RNAcentral.